This 449-nucleotide ribosomal RNA is filed under the name Pirellulaceae bacterium. RNAcentral describes it as "bacterial SSU rRNA". It matches the Rfam family "Bacterial small subunit ribosomal RNA", at positions 1072 to 1533 of the family's 1533-position model. Lineage: Bacteria; Pseudomonadati; Planctomycetota; Planctomycetia; Pirellulales; Pirellulaceae. The record is from RNAcentral.
AUGUUGGGUUAAGUCCCGCAACGAGCGCAACCCUCACUUUUAGUUGCCAUCAUUUAGUUGGGCACUCUGAAAGAACUGCCAGUGAUAAGCUGGAGGAAGGUGGGGAUGACGUCAAGUCCUCAUGGCCCUUACGUGUUGGGCUACACACGUGCUACAAUGGCAUUUACAAUAGGAAGCAAAACGGCGACGUUAAGCAAAUCCUCAAAAGAUACCUCAGUUCGGAUUGCACUCUGCAACUCGAGUGCAUGAAGCUGGAAUUACUAGUAAUCGUGGAUCAGCGUGCCGCGGUGAAUACGUUCCCGGGUCUUGUACACACCGCCCGUCACACCAUGGGAGUUGGUUCUACCUUAAGGCAAGGUUUUAAACCCUUGACCACGGUAUAGUCAGCGACUGGGGUGAAGUCGUAACAAGGUAGCCGUAGGGGAACCUGCGGCUGGAUUACCUCCUUU